Long non-coding RNA from Gavialis gangeticus (Gharial), 8144 nucleotides. RefSeq lists it as uncharacterized. The transcript has 3 exons. NCBI's taxonomy places the organism in Eukaryota, Metazoa, Chordata, Crocodylia, Gavialidae. The record is from RefSeq and is a predicted model, not a curated record.
UUGGUCAACAUUGAUGAAGGGUAACAAUUCCCCCUCCCUGUGGCCGUCCUGUACUGUACUGAGCAGGGCCGUCCCCUGGGGCUGGUGAAAAACCAAUGCAAAAUACCCAUUGAGCAGGUUGGCUUUUUCUUGGGCGUCAGUUGUCAGUUGACCCAUAUGGCACAAAGGGGGUUAAAAGGCUCCCAGGGAAAGAAGCUGGGGGGUGGUGUACCGUAUAUGUUAGGUGCUGAAACACGAGGCCAGAGUACUUUCUUAGGGUCUGAGAAGAGACCUAGGGGCUGCAAGGCUGGCAGCAGCAGUGCCACAUGAGGGAACUCACUCAGAGGGAGAGAAGGAAGAUUGAGGUGUUGAGAGAGAAGCAGAGAGCCAGAGUUAGCUUCUCAGGGUCUGUGAGAAGGCCCAGGACUGUGAAUUUACUCUUUAUGGACCAUGUUUAUGUUUGUUUUACUGAUUUGAGAAUUUGUGCUUAUGGAAAGAAGUGCCCAGGAAAAUAAAGGACUGAUCUGAGUAAUCCCCAACCUGUUACACAUGGUGGAGAAUGCAGGCAGCAGUUUAAAGUGAACUGCAGCAAUUUAAAGAGACAUCCAACAUGGAGAAGAGGGCCCUUUUAAAAGGGAAGAAAUAGCUGUCUGCUGUACGUUGGGGGAUGAAGGGUAUCAAGAGAGGAGUGAAGUCUAGUGCAGCCCCUGAUGCCCAAGAGGUACUACUAUAUGAACUACUAAAAUAUGAACUACUAGUCUUAUCUAUUUUCUGAUGUGCUAGGUGAGGGUGCAGCAUACCUGCAGUAGGAACUGGAGGUGGAAUGCUAAAGCUACAAGCAAGCUGAGGCCGAAGUAGCUUCCCUGAAGUAGGACAGGAAGCAAAGACAGGAAAUAAAGAGGGAAAAAAUAAGGAACUGAGAUGCGUGUUAGCAGCUGAGGUUGAUAGAAUUAAGGAGAUCAUGCAGCUAAUCGCAGCAGAAUCUGAAAAGAGCCAGACGUGAGAAGAGAAGCUGAGAGCACGCCAAGAAAAGGCUGUAAAAGAGGAAACUCAAGAAGCAAGCUAGAAAGCAGAAGAAUCAAAAAAGGUCAGAAAGGUGGAAAAACAUGAAGGAGAACAAAAGGGGAAAAAAUAGAAAAGGUGACAUGGAUCACUGGCAAUGUUUUUUCAUAACAAUUACUUCAGGUUCAUCUCUUUAGUUAACUUGCCUAAGUGAUUCUUCAAAAUAACACUUGAACUGCUGUACUCUCCAUUGAUUGCUGCACCCACUCAAGAAACACCAAGGCUAUGCUACACUGAAAGGGUUGACUUUAAAGUUGUCUUAAAAUCCAUACCCACAGACUACUGUACACUGUAAAUACCUAAGCUUGAUAUGGCUAAGCUCUGGUGAGGUGGACUCCUCCUAUGUUUGCUUCCCAGCUGUCCUUUUUCUGUUUAUUUGUGCAGUGGGCAUAGGAAGUAUAAUGCCACAGUUCCCCAGAUUUGACUUCUUUCCUUUUUUUUUCCAGUUCCUCUCUGCCACCUGUAAGUGGAGGCUUUGGUGCUUACUCCAAGAUAUGAUUAGAGGAAGAAGUUCACCUUAAGCUGCUUGAGAAGAACCUUAACAUCACCAGAAUUUCACUAUAUAUAACCAGGGGGCAUAUGCUAUGGCUCUUAGUACUGCAAUAAACUGAACUUCUCUAUGAAUUCUUUCCCAGGAAAUUAUAGGAGAACUUGUUGUGGUGAUGACAACUGACACGUCUUUCUUUAGUUGCAUCCUACCCCCACUCAGCUUGACAUGGCCAGAGGCUUCAGUGCCUCCCUCUACUGAGAACCGGGGGUCAUGUGGGGCAUAUAGAAAGGCAUUGGGGACUAGUGGCAUUUGAGUAAAGCUAGCUUGUGUUUAUAUUGCACAGAGGUCGUCUUAGUAGUUGCUGAAUUUAAAUCUGUUAUGACAGAUUCUGGUUUUGUUAUAGUAUUCCUGUUAUAAAAGUAUUGCAUGCCUCAGUUUCCUUGAUUAGUCUGUACAGGAAGGGGUUAACUAUAUCAGACCUGUGAGGACCUACAGGAGUGCUCAGUUAGUGGGGAAUGCACCAGCAGGAGAUCAAAGAGUCCAUUUCCAUAUGAAAACACAAGAUAGCAGGAAGUGGACUCCAGCUUCAACAUCUGAAAGCUGUUUGUAGUUUCAAAGAAGGACUUAAAAGCACUCCUAGAUCAGAGGUUCCCAACCAGCAGUGUGCAAGCCACACUGUGGCAUGGGCAGCUGCUGUGUGGCAUGUGAGCCUCUGGAUCCCUGAUCUCUGUAAAGGGAAGCAGUAAAAUGAGGCUGGAGGCUCGCUUCUGGUCAGGUGGAGCAUAGUGGGGACAAGACUGCUGAAAGAGGAGGUGUCAAGUGUCAUCACCAAGAGCCAAAUGAAUCCUUUCCUAUCCCUGCAGCUGCCACUGAAUUCAGGGUUUUAUAUCUGUGCUCCCCAUAUAAUACUGUAGCAGUUGCAAGGCCAGAGAAGGGUUAACUUGGCACUUUGCUAAGUGACACCUCUUCUUGCAGCAGUGUGCUGGUCCCAUUAUGAUCUUCUCAGCCAGAAGCUUGACUCCCGGCGCCUCUGUUCCAGUGCUCCAGGGCACAAGCGUGAUCAGGUAUACCCCCGGGAGAGGGGAUCAGAGAGGCAUUCUGGGCAGAGGUGUGACUUAACUUGUGGCUUGGCGACUGCUGCCCUAUCCCAUCUUGAAAAACAGGAAUGCUUAGAGACAGAGGAGGAGUGAGGCAGGGCAGAGAAGCUUAAGAGGCUUGAAAGGGUACAGCCAGGGAUGUUUUUGCAAACAGAGACUGCUUUGCAGUGAAAACAAGUCCUAGUGCUAUUCCUGGUAUCUCUUCACUGCACCAGGGAGAGAAAGAUGUUAAAUAUUACAAAUAUUUUACAUUUGGUAACUUAUGAGUUCAAGUGAGCAGAGGACCUCCUUCUCAUUCAUAUCUACUUUAUAUUGAAUGCAUUUCUGAAAGCAUUACUUUUAUACCUAUGAAAAUACGAGAAACAUCAAGCUUUGAGUGUUUUGAGUCCCUCCUAUAACUACUUUGCUUGGCAAUACCCAAAAUGAAAAUGAUCCUAAUCUUCCUUCAUCUAGAAGCCAGUAAAAUACUAAGCACUGAUUACAAACAUGUAUUUUUAAAUAUACUAUAAUACAUGGAAUGUACUAUAAUAAAAUAUAUACCAUAAUAAACAGAACAAGUGGAAUAUACAUUUGAAAGUGUUACUUUCAGAUAAUACUGAAACCAAAAUGAAAUAAAGUGGAGAUUUCAAAUCUGUACCGUCAGACACAAACACUCAUUUAAAGGAAUGUACAGCCUACCACAAAUGAGAUUUGGGCCACUGUGGGUACAGCAUUCUGCUAUUUUCCUGUGGAGUUUUGGAUUUUUAAAAUGUUUUUAUGCCCAACUUAUUUAUUCACUAACUGCUUAGUGAAAAACAACAUCCCUAGUUGUACCCUCUGUCAAAAAACAAUUUAAUAACUUCAUCCAGAACCCAAUAUACAGAAAUAGUCUUUCUGCGUAUUUCUCGUUUCAGCUGGUCAUAUUUUAUAGUCAUCAGAAUAGUGGGGGAAAUAGAAAAGGUGGCAUGGCACUGCAAUAACACUCUGAGUAAGACUGUAUUACUGGCUAAGGAAAAUAACUCUUAGAUCUUGAAAUGUCUCUGCCCUUUAAGUCCAAAACAAAGCUUUUGUCAAGUAUUGCCUAUAAAAACAGUGCCUUGUGAUUCUGAAUUGUUUAUCCUUUAAGCUCAUCUUUUCACCAAAAGCUCAUUAACCUACAAUGAGAACACCUGCAAUGAGUUGAACCUAGUUUACAUUUUCACAUUUGCACUUUUCCCUAAUUACAUAGGUGGUCCAAUAAAAAAUACCACCCCAAGAAAUCCUUGCCUCUCUCACAUUUUCACUUAAUACUUUCAUUGUUUAGUUUCAGUUUUAUCCUAAUUAAGGCAUGGACCAAUAUCCAUGAGCACAGGCUAGAACACUAGUGAUGCAGAGCAGUAAGCUGGAGGCCACUGGUGCAUGGCAUGAAGCUGGAGGCACUGGUGUGAGACAUAAGGAAGACAGUUUUAUGGAGCAGUCUAAGGGGCUCCAGGGAACAAUGAUAGGCUGGAAAAUGUUACUAAAGUACUGUCGACUGAAAAUUACUAGAGAAAGACAGAUGGAUGGGACGACCGAUAAAAGGAGAAAAAUCUGUAAAAUGGUUGGUUUGAGGGAACUGGUAGACAGAGUCCAUCAGAAGAAAAGCCAAAAGUGGAUGCCCACUGGAGCAAAAGCAACAGCUAGAAAUCACUGGUGUAUGAUACAGGUGAACUUUCUAAGAGCUUGAUUAGUAGAGCACAACAAUUGUACUGCCUGAGUGGGUCAACUAAAGUAAACUUUGCAACCUAAAUAUCAUUCAAGUUAGCCAAGAGACUAGAAUAUACAUUCUGUGUCAGGGGCUGAAAUGACAGAGCUGGGAUAGAAAACUGUACUUUGUUUUUGCAAGUGAUUUCAGUGUGCUGAACAGAGGUGAUUCUACACAUUUAAAUGACAGACUGGCAUACAAACUACAAGUCCAAACCAUGCUGGAUAGUAGGAUAAUGGGAAGACAUAGAUCAAGCUGGGUAUUUGAAUAAAUUUGUGUAUGGUGUUGUCCUACCUCUUCUUAAGGCAGUAUGAUGUGUUGGUAUAUGUUGGCACUGAUCACCUUUCUACAACACCAGAUGUCCAAAGAAAAGGAAGGAGAAAGGAGGAUUCAUGCCACCUUCUUCCAGGCGUGGAUGGGGAUCUGGACCACUAACAAUGAGUUCCAGAUUCUUGCCUGCCCCAUGGCCUGGCAAAUAUUAAACUGCCCCCAUUUCACUGGAAUAGCUGUAGACCACCCAGCAACUGGCUAAGGAGAAGGAAACCCAAGGGUUUUUCUGUCCCUGCGUUUUCCCUCUAAAUCCCAGCAGAGUCACCAGUCCUAGGAGGCUGUACCCUUCCUCCAUCAUACGGACCUAUUACUACCAACACAACUAGCAUGUUUUCAGGUAUGCAGCGGCACACUUUAAAAAAGCUCCUCAAAUUGAGACCUCUAGAAAUCAAUCAGUGGGUCAUAGAGUGGGCAGAGGAGGUGCACAUGGAAAAAUAAUGCUGGCAUUUUGCAAAGCAAUGCUUCUGCCUGUUGUGCUCUAGCCACAACAGCAUGGAGCCCCCCAAAUUAGCCUGUUCAGAGUUCAAUGUUGCUGUGGUAACACUGCUUGCAGUACCAGUACCAACCUAGCUCACUUAUAACUCUUUUAGAUAUCUCUACACUGCACUGUGCUCUGACAUACUCUCUCUUAGUUGCAUACCAACAGGAUUUAACUGUGUCGUGCGUGUUGUUUGCAGAUAGAUAACUAUGCUUAGAGCCAAUGAAUUGUGAUUAAAUAAUCAUUCCAAAAUUGUCAUGUGGUCAGGUCCUUACCUGUGUAUCCAGGUAGGUACUUAUUACCCUUUCCAUUGUCCAGUGCCAGUGCCAUUAUUAGAAUAUACUUUGGGAUGCAUUGGAGCUAGUCCAUCAUCUAUUUGGGAGUUAGUCUGUCAUCUCUGUGGGGUUAGGGUUGGUUCUAUUUCUACACUAUGUUUCCCAUGAUUGCUUCAAUAUUUUCAAUUCUCAAAAUAUGAGACUAUCAUAAUGAAAAUGUACAAAAAAGUAGAACUCCUGGUUCCAAAAUGAUACCUUUUAUUAGACCAACUGGGAAAUUGCAAGAAAAUGGUUCUAAUGAAAAUGUUUAAUUUCUGUAAUAUCAGAAAAAGAAUAAUUAUGCAAAUCAUAUACAAUCAUAGAAAUAAACUGGCAAAUCAAUUUUACAAUAAUCAUCAUUUUGGUGAAUGUUGCCAAUUUCUGUUCACAAACUUGCCUGCAUUUACAAAAGGGGCUAAUUUUAGCAUUGAGGUCUGCUGUUCUUUUAAUAUUGAUAUAAUUCUAGGUAUUCUAAAAAAGUAGAAUGUUUGUUGCUCAAAAAACAGCUCCCCCCCCCCAAAAAAAACCCAAUCAAAACCAAACCAGAAAACAACAAUAAAAAAAUCCCCACGUUGCCAUCCUAAAGCAAUGCAUGAAUGAAAAGCAGUGGAAAAUAGUGGAUGGUAUUAAAAUAAGUAUAUAUUUUUAACAUGUCUACUAUUGGAAUAUGCAUCCGUACAUGAUACAGAUUAGGGAGGUAGAUGUGUGUUCUAAUGGACUGUGGCUUAAAGAGGGACUUGAAAAUGGAGGGAAUAGAUGUAGGAUCCAAACUUAUAAUUCAGUACUACAAUAAUCUAUAAAAUAAGAAAGCAUAUUAAAUCAACUUGGAAUAAAAUACAAAAUAAAACAAACAAAAACCCAGAGUUUGCAGUUAGCCAAACAAUCAUCACUCAGCAUGGAAGCUGAGUGAUCCUUGAAACAGGUGAAUCAAUCUUAGACAGAGGCUGCCAAGGUCAAUGAGUUGCUAUGCUCUAGGAAAUAUUAACAGAUGUAGUAGGAACUGGGAGAUAAAAUGGGCUAAGGCAGCAGUCCUUUCGCAAUAAGAGUUUUGUCUGAAAAGGGACUGUAGGCUUAGAGGCAGGAAACUGAUAAUAGAAUUUGAAGUAAACUGUCCACAAUGACCUGAAGGAAGCAUUAUAAAGGAGUGAUGUCACAGCACAUUAAUUACUGUCAUAAUACUGUUAAGCUAGGUUAGUUUCUGAAGAUAAAGCAGACCUCAGCAGACACUGGGAGUUUAGUAUCAUGCUUCACUUUAAGAUGUUUUAAAUAGCUUUUUAACAUUAUGUUUUGACCACUACAUUUUUUUUCAGGCAAAUUAGAAAUACAGUUUACAAGUAAAAACAUGGGUAUGAUCUCAUCAAGGCUUUUCUAGAGUACCCCAAUAGAAAUAUACUCCUUUUUACCCAGGCAGUAUCCUUCCCCACUUCAUGAUUCCUGUUAUCUUUUCAUUUUAUAUAUCUUUUCACUUUUUAUUUUGACUUUGAAUCGCUCCUGUCACUCCUGUACCUAUUUUGGAAAAUUUGAUUUGCAUAAUGAACAGUUCUGCAGAGAUUCAAAAUAUAAAUGGAAGUGUUUCUACCACUAAAGUGAAUAAAAUGUGAAAGGCCUCAAUCUUCGCAACUGGAUGUGCAUUCAGUAAAACUUGAAAAUUAAGUUGUAUAGAAAGGGAAAUAUUCACCUUUAUCACUAGUUCCCCACACAUUUUCUAAUUGACCAAUCUCAGCCCACCAUUCAGAAGGAAAAAAACUUCAACAUGGCGUAUUAUACUGUUUCUGUAUAACCUUGAUUAUUCACUUUUUGGCAAUUAAAAUACUAACUCUUAAUUCUGGUGACAGACUCAUUUCUGAAAUGAAAUCAGCUAAUCAGCCUGCUCUGUAGCAGAGACAGUAAGUAUUACUAACCUAGUAAGAAGUACAUUUCCUACAGAUAUUAUUAGCACCUUUUCUAGUAAUAACGUUUCCACACCAGGUUAAAAUAAUGGAUUGGGGCAUUAUAAUGUAAUAGGUUGGGAGAAAUGUCUUUGCAACAAAGUGGGGGUGGGUACGUGACAGCUGCAUUUCAUAUAAGUGCGUUCUAAGAAGUUUUCUUUUCCCUUAUUCUAGGUAGCUGACAAAACAAAAUAUCAUCACCCAAAACAAUGGCAUAUGCUAGGUACACAGCGGCAGAAGUAUUUCAUUGUCUCUUGUUUUGUUAAAGUUGGUGCAUCUCUAUGAAGAAAAAAGACAGCUGAGACAGAGGGAGAGAGGCAGGAAACACCAAAGUACCAGAAAGAGAAGCUCUGGUAAUACAGCUCUGAGGGAAAGCUAAGAGAGGGGUCAAAUACUGGCUUAAAGAGAUUUGGAGCUGUGAACAAGAAAGUAUCUAUCCCCUGUUGUUUUUUUCCUUGGGUGUUCAGGGAAAUUGGAGUUUGUACGUUCUGUGUUUGUUAAAUAAACAGGAUUGCUUUAGAAGUACUUGACUGCAUCACCAAUUUCUUUUCAUAGCAGAAACAGCCCACAAAGGUCUGAAUUUUGUUUAAUCAUGCUUUUAGAAGGGGUAACACUAAUUCAAGAUCUUUUCAUAGGAAUAAAUGUUAUUUCUAUAUAAAUCAAACAGAAACAGAAUGCUAUACAACAUGCAGAACAGUAUGAUAUAAAACUGUAACCCUAUCAAGGAGUUUUAAUGGGGGUCUUCAAGAGGAGGCUGGAUAGAU